Long non-coding RNA from Chelonia mydas (Green sea turtle), 157 nucleotides. RefSeq lists it as uncharacterized. The transcript is spliced from 3 exons. The record is from RefSeq and is a predicted model, not a curated record. NCBI's taxonomy places the organism in Eukaryota, Metazoa, Chordata, Testudines, Cheloniidae.
UUGAAACCUGCCGCCUAUUAAUUUCAUUGGGUGACAUCUGAUUCUUGUGUUGUAUGAAGGAGUAAAUAACACUUCCUUAUUUACUUUCUCCACACCAGUCAUGAAUUUAUAGACCUCUAUCAUAUUAUAUUCAUCUCUUUUCCAAGUUGAAAAUUCC